GCGCCUGUAGCUCAGUUGGAUAGAGCACCCGCCUUCUAAGCGGGCGGCCACAGGUUCGAACCCUGUCAGGCGCG
Molecule: transfer RNA, 74 nt
Filed under: Paenalcaligenes hominis
Lineage: Bacteria; Pseudomonadati; Pseudomonadota; Betaproteobacteria; Burkholderiales; Alcaligenaceae
Rfam family: tRNA
About the family: Transfer RNA (tRNA) molecules are approximately 80 nucleotides in length.
Source: Rfam by way of RNAcentral